GAUGAACGCUGGCGGCGUGCCUAAUACAUGCAAGUCGAGCGAACAGACGAGGAGCUUGCUCCUCUGACGUUAGCGGCGGACGGGUGAGUAACACGUGGAUAACCUACCUAUAAGACUGGGAUAACUUCGGGACACCGGAGCUAAUACCGGAUAAUAUUUUGAACCGCAUGGUUCAAUAGUGAAAGACGGUUUUGCUGUCACUUAUAGAUGGAUCCGCGCCGCAUUAGCUAGUUGGUAAGGUAACGGCUUACCAAGGCAACGAUGCGUAGCCGACCGGAGAGGGUGAUCGGCCACACUGGAACUGAGACACGGUCCAGACUCCUACGGGAGGCAGCAGUAGGGAAUCUUCCGCAAUGGGCGAAAGCCUGACGGAGCAACGCCGCGUGAGUGAUGAAGGUCUUCGGAUCGUAAAACUCUUUUAUUAGGGAAGAACAAAUGUGUAAGUAACUAUGCACGUCUUGACGGUACCUAAUCAGAAAGCCACGGCUAACUACGUG
Molecule: ribosomal RNA, 497 nt
Filed under: uncultured bacterium
Lineage: Bacteria
Description: partial 16S ribosomal RNA
Rfam family: Bacterial small subunit ribosomal RNA
Source: RNAcentral